This 2945-nucleotide long non-coding RNA is filed under the name Gallus gallus (chicken). RNAcentral's name for it is "lncRNA (ENSGALG00010018176.1)". The record is from RNAcentral. Lineage: Eukaryota; Metazoa; Chordata; Aves; Galliformes; Phasianidae.
CCUCUCUUUCCUAUUUGCGGGGGGAACGGCGAUAACGGUAGCGCUAUUGGAAGAAGCACUUGUCAAUCCAAUCCGAUUGGAUGGGGGGGUGGAGCCUCCCCGCCCACUCCCUAACCGCUACCGGUCAGGCUUCCUCGGUGCGCCGCUUUAACUCGGGAAGCUGUGGGGCUGCGUCAUCAGCUCGUGCCUCCUCUCUUCCGGAUCCGGCUGGUGGCCGCUUUGCUUGACUUUAGAGCGUGGCGGGGAGGCAGGGUUCGGGCCUGCUGAGCGCACCGCUGUAGUGGGGUCCGGAGCAGCGUUGUCCGCCGAGAGGGUUGUCCUGCGGCGGUUCUGCCGAAGCGUAAAAGCGGAGCCUAGGAGUACAAGAUGGAGGGAUGGGCGCAGAUGCUCUUUAGGGGCUGGCCCGUGCGCGCAGCCCGCCCCGCUGGAGCUCCCUGUCAGCCCCCGGGCUCCUUCCGAGCGCUGAGCGGAGCGCGGAGGCCCGAAGCAGCGAGGGCCGUGCGGUAAGAGGGCGCGUUGUGGAGUUUUCCUCGGAGCUGAAGAACAAAAGCGAUGUGUCCCGCAGCUAUUUCCACAAGGAUAUGGUUAAUAAGAAAAGAGAAGCGAAAUGGAGACAUCAAACUGAGGGGUCAUAAACUCACGUGGGGACAAUGAUUUAAAUCACCUGUUCACAAGAAGUAUUAAUGGAACUCCCAUGGGAUUUCUGAUGUUUUGCUGUUCUUCCUGUUAGAAGGACUGUUAUCACCUCAUCUUGAAAGCAGUAACAAAAGCAUGUUCAAACUGCAGGCUUUAAACUCAAUCACUUCCAGGCCUUCUGCAGCUGGAUAAAAAGAUCAGAAGUAAAGGCUUGUUUCAGCUUAUCAGGGCAGGACACCUCUUUGUGUCCAAGUCAGAUAUGUCUUCCUUACUUGUGAAAGAACCUGGAAAUGAAGUGUUAUUAUGUGCAUUAACAGUUAAAAACACUUAAGUAGAGCUUAUUAUCUCAUGAAGCUUUUUUUGAAGCUCCUGUUCUGCAUGCUAGGUAAAUAAUUUGAGGCAUACCAUCAGGGCAUCGUCUGGCAGCAUCAGCUUGUCCUUUGAGACCAGUUCGAAUGCUCAGUGUACCUACAGUUCUGGACUGCACAGUUAAAAUCUGUGUGGCAUGCGUACAUUUUGAAUGCUGAAGUAGAAGCUGUGAAACUUUUAUAGUAACUUAUUACUUAACUGGUGAUCUAAACCAGUUGUUGGAUUUGGAUCGUGUAAGGAUCUCUGCCUUUAACAAGGGGAAGUCAUGUUAGUAAUAAACGUAAAAGUGUUCUGAGUCCUGUACUGAGUGAGUAGAAUGUAAAAUGUUCAAGGUAGAGGACAGACCUUUAAAUUAGACACUUCUUAGAUUUCAAAGUAAUUAAUAAUAUAGUACAAAUUAGUACCAAGUAAUUUGUCCCAGUAUGAUAAGUAUACUCAGUCUGCCUUGGGAAUUGUGAAGCUGUCCUGUGGCAAGAACCAUGUGGUGUGAACUUUGGAAUAGGGUAGAAUUGCUGUUUAGUAUAAGCAAGCUUCUUGCAACUAUGUUGCCUGAGCAGAGUCUUUUAGACCUUUGUUCCUUAUUUGCAGGUGAUAGCAAUCCUUGAGUCUUUCAUUAUUACAAAAGAAGUGUAACUUAGAUAUGUUAAUUUCCAUACGCAGUUGAGAAGUGUUACCUCUGAGUAUGCUUUGUGCAUCUCUUGGCCUCUUUUUGACUUGGAGUUAAGAAUGGCAGAAUUUUUCACGGGCUUAAAAAAAACAUUGCACAAAGUUGAGAAAGUAAAAUGUAUCUGUUAAAUACAGGUAUAAUAUUACUAGGUCAAGUAUUGAGCAAAAAAAAAUCUAGAGACAGUUUGUUUUAAGAAUGUUCAGUUGCAGUGAGGCAAGAAAAGUUCUGAUGAGCUUGUAUUUAGUGUCCACGAGAGGGCUCUGUCAGCUCAGGGCUGCCCGCUGAAGGUCUCUGGCUGAGUCACUUCACUAAAAUGGCAGGUUGCAGUAACUGGAUUUUUACUGUCACUGAGGAUGGUUAGAUCUUUUGAAUUCCCUUAUCUUAAUAGUGCAACAAUCGCUUGAGAUAAUAAUUGCUAUUACCGGGAAAAUCCUCCAAUAAAUAAUCAUAGAAUCAUAAAAUGGCCUGGGUUGAAAAGGACCACAGUGAUCUUUGAGUUUCAACCCCCCUGCUAUGUGCAGGGUCGCCAACCACCAGACCAGGCUGCCCAGAGCCACAUCCAGCCUGGCCUUGAAUGCCUCCAGGCAUCCACAACCUCCUUGGGCAACCUGUUCCAGUGCGUCACCACCCUCUAUGAGUGGAAAAACUUCCUCUUAAUAUCUAACCUAAACCUCCCCUGUCCCAGUUUAAAACCAUUCCCCCUUGUCCUAUCACUACCCACCCUCGUAAACAGCUGUUCUCCCUCCUGUUUAUAUGCUCCCUUCAAGUAUUGGAAGGCCACAAUAGGGUCUUCCCGGAGCCUUCUCUUCUCCAAGCUAAACAAGUUCCCUCAACCUUUCCUCAUGGGAGAGGUGCUCUAGCCCUCUGAUCAUCUUAGUGGCCCUCUUCUAUAUAAGUUUGUUGUGGUUUUUUCUUCUGUUUUUGUUUGCUUGUUUUGUUUUAAUUAAGAAUGUACAGCAAGGUAUGCUUUAUUUUGAGAAAUGUCACAUCUGUUGGAGAAACAUCACUGGAACUUUAAUAAACAUCAGUGGCCAUAUCAUCUGCUCCAUGGAACAAGAGAGAUACUAUCAAGCAUAUCAUUACAUGUGGAUUUCAACUGUAUUAGAAGUUUCUCCAAGUAAAUGUUGAAGCAUUUUGCACACAACAGCAUAUUUGUGAAGUAGAUGGAAUUGUUAUGAUGUGCCUUAAAUAUAAGUUUAUUUUAGCAGUAUAAGCAUGGUGCUAUCAUGUUUCAAUAAAGAUUUGUGGUUUUCAUUACAAAUCCUUUAGCCUC